GACGAACGCUGGCGGCGUGCUUAACACAUGCAAGUCGAACGGAAAGGCCCUGCUUUUGUGGGGUGCUCGAGUGGCGAACGGGUGAGUAACACGUGAGUAACCUGCCCUUGACUUUGGUAUAACUUCAGGAAACUGGGGCUAAUACCGGAUAUGAGCUCCUGCUGCAUGGUGGGGGUUGGAAAGUUUCGGCGGUUGGGGAUGGACUCGCGGCUUAUCAGCUUGUUGGUGGGGUAGUGGCUUACCAAGGCUUUGCCGGGUAGCCGGCCUGAGAGGGUGACCGGCCACAUUGGGACUGAGAUACGGCCCAGACUCCUACGGGAGGCAGCAGUGGGGAAUAUUGCACAAUGGGCGGAAGCCUGAUGCAGCAACGCCGCGUGCGGGAUGACGGCCUUCGGGUUGUAAACCGCUUUCGCCUGUGACGAAGCGUGAGUGACGGUAAUGGGUAAAGAAGCACCGGCUAACUACGUG
This 468-nucleotide ribosomal RNA is filed under the name uncultured bacterium. RNAcentral's name for it is "partial 16S ribosomal RNA". It matches the Rfam family "Bacterial small subunit ribosomal RNA", at positions 28 to 507 of the family's 1533-position model. The record is from RNAcentral.